UACGUAGGGACCAAGCGUUGUUCGGAUUUACUGGGCGUAAAGGGCGCGUAGGCGGCUUAACAAGUCACUUGUGAAAUCUCCGGGCUUAACCCGGAAAGGUCAGCCGAUACUGCGGGGCUAGAGUGCAGAAGGGGCAACUGGAAUUCUCGGUGUAGCGGUGAAAUGCGUAGAUAUCGAGAGGAACACCUGCGGCGAAGGCGGGUUGCUGGGCUGACACUGACGCUGAGGCGCGAAAGCUAGGGGAGCGAACGGG
Molecule: ribosomal RNA, 253 nt
Filed under: uncultured bacterium
Lineage: Bacteria
Description: partial 16S ribosomal RNA
Rfam family: Bacterial small subunit ribosomal RNA
Source: RNAcentral